GAUGAAGAACGUAGUGAAAUGCGAUAAGUAAUGUGAAUUGCAGAAUUCAGUGAAUCAUCGAAUCUUUGAACGCACAUUGCGCCCGCCAGUAUUCUGGCGGGCAUGCCUGUCCGAGCGUCAUUUCAACCAUCAAGCCCCGGGCUUGUGUUGGGGACCUGCGUCCGACGCAGGCCCUGAAAACCAGUGGCGGGCUCGCUGUCCACACCGAGCGUAGUAACUAACCUCGCUAUGGAGUGGCGCGGGCGCCUGCCGUAAAACCCCCAAUUUUUACAAGGUUGACCUCGGAUCAGGUAGGAAUAUCCGCUGAACUUAAGCAUAUCAAUAAGCGGAGGA
Molecule: unclassified non-coding RNA, 333 nt
Filed under: soil metagenome
Description: partial contains 5.8S ribosomal RNA, internal transcribed spacer 2, and large subunit ribosomal RNA
Rfam family: 5.8S ribosomal RNA (bases 1-120)
Source: RNAcentral